Molecule: ribosomal RNA, 495 nt
Filed under: uncultured bacterium
Lineage: Bacteria
Description: partial 16S ribosomal RNA
Rfam family: Bacterial small subunit ribosomal RNA
Source: RNAcentral
UGACCGCUGGCGGCGUGCCUACUACAUGCAAGUCGAGCGAACGGACGAGAAGCUUGCUUCUCUGAUGUUAGCGGCGGACGGGUGAGUAACACGUGGAUAACCUACCUAUAAGACUGGGAUAACUUCGGGAAACCGGAGCUAAUACCGGAUAAUAUUUUGAACCGCAUGGUUCAAAAGUGAAAGACGGUCUUGCUGUCACUUAUAGAUGGAUCCGCGCUGCAUUAGCUAGUUGGUAAGGUAACGGCUUACCAAGGCAACGAUGCAUAGCCGACCUGAGAGGGUGAUCGGCCACACUGGAACUGAGACACGGUCCAGACUCCUACGGGAGGCAGCAGUAGGGAAUCUUCCGCAAUGGGCGAAAGCCUGACGGAGCAACGCCGCGUGAGUGAUGAAGGUCUUCGGAUCGUAAAACUCUGUUAUUAGGGAAGAACAUAUGUGUAAGUAACUGUGCACAUCUUGACGGUACCUAAUCAGAAAGCCACGGCUAACUACGUG